CAUCACUGCCGUGGCUAAUCACCCAGAGCUGUAUGAUGCUAGCUGCUACUUCUACCGAGACAGGAAUAAAAAGGACCUAGCUUGGAGGCACAUAAGUGAGGAGAUCGGGCAACCUGAGGACAUCAUCUGCAGGAGAAAGUGGAAGAGCCUCAGGGACACAUAUAAUAAGGAGAAGAGGAGUGGGUCUGCAGCAGGAUCGGGGAAGAGAUGGAAGUUCUUCGCGGUCAUGGGGUUUCUGGACCCCUUCCUCACCCCGCGGGAGACUAGCGGCAAUAUGGUGCGGACCGUGGAGAACUCCCCCCCCCCCCGAGGACCAGGGACAGCCCGGAGAGGCAGCAGGGGAGUGUCAGUCAGAAGAGCCAUCUGUAGCAGAGCCAUCCCCUGUUGCUUCUCCUGGCUCCCCAGUCCCUGGUCCCUCCACUCCUGCUGCUGCAUCCACAGGCCCACAGAGGAGGACAGCUCAAAGGCGGUCGAGGGACGGGUCCCAGGACGGUCCAUCGGCGGUGGAGCUGGCCAUCCUGGAGUCCCUGAAGAGGCCACGCCCGUCUCCAAUGGAGCAUGUCCUCCUCGGCCUUGUUCCUGCUCUGGAGAGCAUGCCGCCUCAGACACGAGAAUUCGUGAAAUUUCAAAUGUAUAAAUUAGUUUUUGAAAACAGCACAGCUGUGUUAAAUUUGGAAACAUUGGACUCUAAUGAUCAGUAGUUUUCUGAUGAGGCAGCAGGCUCUCCAGGGCAGAAACAAUGUUGUUAUAUU
Molecule: long non-coding RNA, 752 nt
Organism: Oreochromis aureus
Lineage: Eukaryota; Metazoa; Chordata; Actinopteri; Cichliformes; Cichlidae
Source: Ensembl